This is a long non-coding RNA of Zootoca vivipara (common lizard), 2403 nucleotides long. RefSeq lists it as uncharacterized. Lineage: Eukaryota; Metazoa; Chordata; Lepidosauria; Squamata; Lacertidae. The record is from RefSeq and is a predicted model, not a curated record.
CGGGGCUACGUGGCCUGCGUCCUCCCAGCUCUUCUGAGGAGGCAGCCCCAGGCUCUUGUUCCCGGCGCGAAGCUCCAGAGGUGCGCGGGGAACGCAAGCCUGUGGCUGCCUCCUCCACUUACACUCCCCGCUCCCGCUUAGCGCUCCUCCGCUUACGCUCCCCUCGCACCUCUGGAGCUUUGUGCUGGGAGCCGGAGCCUGGGGCUGCCACGCUGCGCCCCUUAGCCUUUUGCUUCUAGGGGGGGCAAUUACCCCCUCCUGCCCCCCUGCCCACGGCACUGGUCGCCCCUCUGGGAAGCUCGCCCCAUCGCCCGGGUGCGCUGUUUCUGCCCCGAGCGCAGACGGCUCAGCCUCCUCCUCCUCUGCUUCCCACCCGGCUCCCCACUGUGCCUCCUGGGCUGGCUCCGCAGCCACUGUCCCUGGCUGAGCUGCCCCUGCAGCUGCUCUGCAUAGACAUCAAGGCACCCAGCCAGAAAACUUGGGGGGGGCCAGCUGGCUUCUAGAGUAGGGCAGCUGCCCUAACUUGCCCCGUGGUGGGUACGCCCUUGGAACUUCAUGUCUAAGAGAGGAUUUUAACUUGGCUUUCCUCAUUGCUAGCCUGCCACUCUAACCACUACACCACAUGGACUCUCACAUACGGAGGGAAAAGGAGCCAGUACUCACCAUGAAAUUGUUACAAACAAGAAUGGGAAUGAAGAACAUCUGUUAGCAAAUGUUUCAAGUGAAGGGAAAACUGGCUUGAAUACUUUUUUUAAAAAUGACAAAUCCUGUUUGAUUGUGCUUUUAUAUUGUUGGAUAGCUAGCAUGCAUCUAUGUAAUUUGUCAGCAGGCAUGAAAAUUACCUAAUUAAAUAAGUAAGAAAACUUUUCAUUUUCUCCGCAUGACAAGAGUGUUACUGGGGCAAACUCACCAUUUAACACAAUUUAAAUAGGACAUAUUAACAAUUUCUGUUACAAACACCCAGUGGAUAUUGAGAAGCUUAAUAAAACAUAAAAGGGUUUAUCUUGUAAAACAAAUUUGGCAUAAUCAUUUUUCAGGCAAGGUAAAUCCUUUGCUUGUCACUGGUUGAAUCGCCUUGUAAACUGAUAUAUUCACAGUAUUAGGACUGCAUUUCAUUCCAAACGCAUGCUGGAAAGACCUGAAAUUUCAUUACAGCCAUGAGUAUUAUAGCCAAAUAAAACGUUAGUCAAGCAUGCUUUUAACAAUUAUUGUAAUGCUUUCACUCUUUUUUGUGCCUCUAGUUAAGAAAUGGAAAUAUAGUUUAGAAAGGGGUUAUUCUAUAGAAAUAACUCCAAUGGCACAUUUAGGAAAAUGACAUUGAAUUAAAGGAAGUUUUCUAUAUUUUAUGAUGUGAUCUGUAACUUUACAUGUGAUCAUAGGGUAAAGAUAUAGCUAGGAUGAGUAAUUUUGGUGAGUUAAUAUGCUACUCGGUUUGAGCCCACAUAAUGCCUAAUGCCUCUGAAAUGAGGACUGUGGAGUGCUUUGUAUUCAAUAAAUGAACAAUUUUAUAAUGUUAACUCUGGCCUUUCACUCAUUCACUUUAUAGAAGCAUUAUUCAUACUACUGAACUGAAAACUAUAUACUGUAAAGCAUUUAAUCUGUAUGAGGCAAUGGAAAGGAUGGCAGGUAAGACAAGAGAUUUUCAUUUGUAAAUGAUACAUAUCGUUUGCUAAUCAAUUUCACAUUCGUUAAGUUGGGGGGGGGAACCACAGGCUUUCAAAUAUAUAUUAAGAGAAAACCCAUACACAUUAGUAACAAUUUCUUUUUAUUAGAGCAAAUACAGUUAAGAAAACUGUACAUUAUCCAUUUUGGGUUCCAGAAUUAUAAAUUAAGAAGCUCAUUAGAUAAAGAGUUCAUUCACAGCAAGAAAUUUUAAAUAGACAAAGUAACAUAUCAUUAAGUACAUUGGCAGAUCAAUGAACUGUCCAAAAUGUAGUGUACAGUAUACAACCAUCUAUAAAUAGCCUUUUAUGUAAAAUACAGCUGUGCACAUUUUAGAAAAAUACCAACAAUUUUUGAUUGGAGCUUCGUUUUUUAAAAAAGCUUAUAAAUCAUACAUAUUUAUAAAUGGAAAUAGCAUGCUUAAAUUUAUAAACAUUUUCAAAAGCCAUGUUUUUUUAAAUAAACAUGUAAUAAAAUGUAAAUGUCAGUUACAAAAUUAUUUUAAGCAAUAACUUAACAGGGGUGAACUGUAGAUAAGAAAGUGUGUUUAUAUAGGACAUCAAGGCUUGUUACGAUUUUAAAAACCUGAAUCUCAAUUAAGAAGUAGUUUUCUAAAUUUAAAAGUAAAACAAGUUUUCCUUCCUUAACAAACAUACAAACACAAGUUGUUAAACGUUUCAUUUGCUGCCUUUCUGCUUUCUUCACGAUUUCCACACUGGUCAAAACACAGGAUUCUCAAAC